Molecule: long non-coding RNA, 633 nt
Filed under: Mytilus galloprovincialis (Mediterranean mussel)
Lineage: Eukaryota; Metazoa; Mollusca; Bivalvia; Mytilida; Mytilidae
Source: RNAcentral
CGUUUAUGUAAUAGCAUAUUUUAAGAAAUAACUCCGUAUAUAUUACAUAAGACUAAGGUAGUUCGAAUACUUUCUAUAUAUUCGAAAUCUGUAUAUAGAAUAGAACAGAAAAGAAUAUUUCAUUUUCCAAAAUAACAUAGUCUAUAAAGAGCAUACAAAUCACGACCAACCAGUAAUGGUGCGAGCUACUGGUGAUACCCCCUCCCAAAUAUUUCGGUAAACAGGAAAUUGUUGAGAUGUGAAUCUGAAAAAAGCAUCACACAGUAUAACUGACUUAUAUAAACCUUGAAACCAAAUUUCAGAAAUCAUUGUAUUGUAGUUUCUGAGAAAAAUAGGACGAAAAUGCUCAACUUAGCUCUCAUGUAAAAAGUGUCCGGUAAACAGAAAGUUGUUGAGUUAAGAAUAUGAAAAUGCAUCGCGUGAGAUAAACCCGACUUCAAUAAACCCUGACACCAAAUUUCAGAAAUCCUUGUAAUGUUUUUUCAUGAAAAAGAAGCAACGAAAAUAUUCACGUGGCGGACGGACGAACUGACGGAUGGACGGAUGACGGAUGGACGGACGGACGGACAGAGGUAACACAGUAUACUCCCCAGAACUAACACAUUGAUAUGAAACAACAGUCAGUAUCAAGAC